Molecule: unclassified non-coding RNA, 216 nt
Filed under: Hevea brasiliensis (rubber tree)
Lineage: Eukaryota; Viridiplantae; Streptophyta; Magnoliopsida; Malpighiales; Euphorbiaceae
Source: RNAcentral
CAAGGUUAAACCAGAAGUGUUUCGGAACCUCGCUCCUGCCCCUGUUUCAGGAAAGGUUACGACCGUAUUAGCUAGUGUUGAUCUGUGUUCCAUGGUUUGUGUGAGUUUGAAUAGUUUGUGUGUGGCGGUUUCUGUUAGUUUUAUAUUUAAUUGCGAAUCAGGUAAAGAUAGCCAGGAGGAUUUAGAUGGAUUUGAAAGACAAUAAAUAUGUAUGGG